GACAGGGGGCUCGAGCGUUAAUCGGAAUCACUGGGCUUAAAGGGUGCGUAGGCGGGCCAGUAAGCGUCUUGUGAAAUCCCCCGGCUCGACCGGGGAACUGCGGGGCGAACUGCUGGUCUUGAGGAAGCUAGAGGCCGGUAGAACGAUUGGUGGAGCGGUGGAAUGCGUAGAUAUCAAUCGGAAUGCCGAAAGUGAAGACAGCCGGCUGGGGCUUUCCUGACGCUGAGGCACGAAAGCGUGGGGAGCAAACGGG
This 253-nucleotide ribosomal RNA is filed under the name uncultured bacterium. RNAcentral's name for it is "partial 16S ribosomal RNA". It matches the Rfam family "Bacterial small subunit ribosomal RNA", at positions 524 to 776 of the family's 1533-position model. The record is from RNAcentral.